GCCAAACAACCUCCAUUGUAGCUACUCCAACUAACUUGUAUUUUGCUUCAAUGGAUGAGCAGGCAACUGUGGUCUGUUUUCGGGUUGACCAAGAGACAAGGUUGGCACCUAGGUAUAUCGCAUAACUAGAAACAGACUUGCGAUCUUCUGGAUUCGAGGCCUAGUCCGCAUCAACAUAAGCACUAAGUUGAGGAGUGGAAGCUUUAUGAAGGAACAAACCAUAGUGUUGAGUAUGCUUUAAAU
RNAcentral lists this unclassified non-coding RNA (243 nucleotides) under Hevea brasiliensis (rubber tree). The record is from RNAcentral. Lineage: Eukaryota; Viridiplantae; Streptophyta; Magnoliopsida; Malpighiales; Euphorbiaceae.